AAGUAUGUCCUUCAUGAAUUUGGCAUACUUGGGCAUUUGCUCCAAGGCUUCGGCAAACGGAAUGUUGAUUUGCAAUUGUUUAAAAAUAUCCAUGAACCGGGCGUAAUGCCGUUCAUUCUCCCUUUUGGACGGAGCAUGAGGAUAAGGAAGGUUUUGGAUUGGAGUAGCGCUCACUACCUCCUUUCCUUUUGCAAUUCUCGAACUCCUCCAUCUAGGUUUUUU
This 222-nucleotide long non-coding RNA is filed under the name Lathyrus oleraceus (garden pea). Its description in RNAcentral is "Pisum sativum (pea) long non-coding RNA (PSAT_LNC013277)". The record is from RNAcentral. Lineage: Eukaryota; Viridiplantae; Streptophyta; Magnoliopsida; Fabales; Fabaceae.